This 253-nucleotide ribosomal RNA is filed under the name uncultured bacterium. RNAcentral describes it as "partial 16S ribosomal RNA". It matches the Rfam family "Bacterial small subunit ribosomal RNA", at positions 524 to 776 of the family's 1533-position model. The record is from RNAcentral.
UACGGGGGGGGCGAGCGUUGUCCGGAUUUACUGGGCGUAAAGCGCGUGUAGGCGGCGAUUUAAGUCCGGGGUGAAAGGCGGGGGCUCAACCCCCGAGCGGCAACGGAAACUGGAUCGCUUGAGUGUCGGAGAGGGGAGUGGAAUUCUCGGUGUAGCGGUGAAAUGCGCAGAUAUCAGGAGGAACACCUAUUGCGAAGGCAGCUCGCUGGGACGUAACUGACGCUGAGACGCGAAAGCGUGGGGAGCAAACAGG